RNAcentral lists this ribosomal RNA (646 nucleotides) under uncultured fungus. RNAcentral's name for it is "eukaryotic LSU rRNA". The stretch from base 211 to 364 matches the Rfam family "5.8S ribosomal RNA". The record is from RNAcentral. Lineage: Eukaryota; Fungi.
CUUGGUCAUUUAGAGGAAGUAAAAGUCGUAACAAGGUCUCCGUUGGUGAACCAGCGGAGGAAUCAUUACCGAGUACUAUAACUCAUAACCCUUUGUGAACCUUUAUACCUGUUGCUUCGGCGGCGCGCCUCCCGGGGCGCGCCCGCCGGCAUUAUCAGAAUCUCUGUUCGAACCCGACGAUACAUCUGAGUGUUCUAAGCGAACUGUUAAAACUUUCAACAACGGAUCUCUUGGCUCCAGCAUCGAUGAAGAACGCAGCGAAACGCGAUAUGUAAUGUGAAUUGCAGAAUUCAGUGAAUCAUCGAAUCUUUGAACGCACAUGGCGCCUUCCAGUAUCCUGGGAGGCAUGCCUGUCCGAGCGUCGUUUCAACCCUCGAGCCCCCGUGGCCCGGCGUUGGGGAUCUGCCCAGGCAGUCCCCGAAAACCAGUGGCGGACCCGUUGGGCCCUUCCUUUGCGUAGUAACAUCUGCCUCGCAUCGGGAGCCUGCGGGCUAUCCGGCCUCUAAACCCCCCUCAAGCCCGCUCCGGCGGCACCAAGGUUGACCUCGGAUCAGGUAGGAAUACCCGCUGAACUUAAGCAUAUCAAUAAGCGGAGGAAAAGAAACCAACAGGGAUUGCCCCAGUAACGGCGAAUCCCGCGGCCAUG